UACGUAGGGGGCAAGCGUUGUCCGGCUUUAUUGGGCGUAAAGAGCGUGUAGGCGGCCAUGUAGGUCCGUUGUGAAAACUCGAGGCUCAACCUCGAGACGCCGAUGGAAACCAUGUGGCUAGAGUCCGGAAGAGGAGAAUGGAAUUCCCGGUGUAGCGGUGAAAUGCGCAGAUAUCGGGAAGAACACCCGUGGCGAAGGCGGUUCUCUGGGACGGUACUGACGCUGAGACGCGAAAGCGUGGGGAGCGAACAGG
Molecule: ribosomal RNA, 253 nt
Filed under: uncultured bacterium
Lineage: Bacteria
Description: partial 16S ribosomal RNA
Rfam family: Bacterial small subunit ribosomal RNA
Source: RNAcentral